GCCCCAUCCAUCUUUCCCUCAACUCUGCCAGUUUCCCAGUCCCGGCUGCUGAAAAACAUCCCCACAGCAUGAUGCUGCUACCACCAUGUUUCACUGUGGGGAUGGUGUUCUUUGGGUGAUGUGUUGGGUUUACGCCAGACAUAGCGUUUUCUUUGAUGGCCGAAAAGUUAAAUUUUAGUCUCAUCAGACAAGAGCAUCUUCCUCCAUACAUUUUAGGAGUCUCCCACAUGCCUUUUUGCAAACUCUAAACGUGCCAUUUUGUUUUUUUGCUGAAAGUAAUGGCUUUCUUCUGGCAACUCUGCCAUAAAGCCCAACUCUAUGGAGCGUACGGCUUAUUGUUGUCCUAUGUACAGAUACUCCAGUCUCUGCUGUGCAACUCUGCAGCCCCUCCAGGGUUACCUUAGGUCUCUGUGCUGCCUCUCGGAUUAAUG
Molecule: non-coding RNA, 431 nt
Organism: Pelobates cultripes (western spadefoot toad)
Lineage: Eukaryota; Metazoa; Chordata; Amphibia; Anura; Pelobatidae
Source: the annotation of a GenBank genome assembly